AAGGCUUGACAUGUAUUGCUAAGCACGUGAAAGCGUGUGACCCUUCGGGGACCUUACACAGGUGCUGCAUGGCCGUCGUCAGCUCGUGUCGUGAGAUGUUUGGUUAAGUCCAGCAACGAGCGCAACCCCUGUGAAUAGUUGCCAGCACGUAAUGGUGGGGACUCUAUUCAGACUGCCCGGGUCAACCGGGAGGAAGGUGGGGAUGACGUCAGGUCAGUAUGGCCCUUACGCCUUGGGCUGCACACGUACUACAAUGCUCAGUACAAUGAGAACCGAUCCCGCGAGGAGGAGGAAAUCUGCAAAACUGGGCCCAGUUCGGAUUGGAGGCUGCAACUCGCCUCCAUGAAGUUGGAAUCGCUAGUAAUGGCACAUCAGCUACGGUGCCGUGAAUACGUUCCGCGGGUCU
Molecule: ribosomal RNA, 406 nt
Filed under: uncultured bacterium
Lineage: Bacteria
Description: bacterial SSU rRNA
Rfam family: Bacterial small subunit ribosomal RNA
Source: RNAcentral